GGGGGAUUGAGAGGCUGAAAGGCUGCUGGCUGACUGGAAUAAGUGCUCUUCCACACUGGCCAGCAAGGACUGAGAAUUGACUAUUCUGUCAAAAUGCCAGGUGGUGAGCAGGAGGCUAUGGAACCGGAGUGGUCAAACAUGCUGCACCCAACAAAUACAGCCCCAGAGAGGAGAAAGAGCAAGACUUCAGAUUGAUUUCAUGGAUGUUCAUCAUGGAGAGUGGCUUUG
Serinus canaria (Common canary) is the source of this 228-nucleotide long non-coding RNA. RefSeq lists it as uncharacterized. The record is from RefSeq and is a predicted model, not a curated record. Lineage: Eukaryota; Metazoa; Chordata; Aves; Passeriformes; Fringillidae. The transcript has 3 exons.